RNAcentral lists this ribosomal RNA (406 nucleotides) under uncultured bacterium. RNAcentral describes it as "partial 16S ribosomal RNA". It matches the Rfam family "Bacterial small subunit ribosomal RNA", at positions 30 to 526 of the family's 1533-position model. The record is from RNAcentral.
AUUGAACGCUGGCGGCAGGCCUAACACAUGCAAGUCGAACGAGUGGCGGACGGGUGAGUAAUGUCUGGGAAAAUGCCUGUUAGAGGGGGCUAACUACUGGAAACGGUAGCUCAUACCGCAUACCAUCGGAUCUGCCCAUAUGUGAUUCGCUAGUAGGUGGGGUAAAGGCUCACCUAGGCGACGAGCCCUAGCUGGUCUGAGAGUAUGACCAGCCAGACUGUGACUGAGACACGGUCCAGAGUCCUACGGGAGGGCGCAGUGGGGAAUAUUGCACAAUGGGCGCAAGCCUGAUGCAGCCAUGCCGCGUGUAUGUAGAAGGCCUUCGGGUUGUAAAGUACUUUCAGCAGGGAGGCGUUACCCGCAGAAGAAGCACCGGCUAACUCCGUGCCAGAAGCCGCGGUAAUUC